Molecule: microRNA precursor, 73 nt
Filed under: Marmota monax (woodchuck)
Lineage: Eukaryota; Metazoa; Chordata; Mammalia; Rodentia; Sciuridae
Source: RNAcentral
UGCGGGAGGCGGGGGGAGGAGGACAUAUAUAACUAUAUGUCCUCCUCCCCUCGCCUCCCGCAUGUAUUUUAUA